CUUCGAUAACACAAUUCCACUUACUACAAACAUUAUUUCAUUGUCUUAAGCAACGAGUAUAACAGUUGACACAUCUUAAGACUCUUCUCACACUUCGUACAGUUCAAAGAUCUCUUAUUGAAGUAUAACUGGUAUAAAAACCAGUUUCGAUCAACAACAACGAAUAAUAAAAGGCAAGGAGAACCCUAUCGGACAACUUUAACAUCUCACAUCUUUACUUUAUACUUAUGGUAUAUCAACGUGAUGCAGUUCUUGCUCUCACUUUAUCCUUGAGGUAAAAUGCCAAGAGAUGGUCGAUACUUCAAUAGUUCUCCAAUGACCGCAGUGUGGCCUUUAUGAGCAGCUUUAAAAAGUGGUGUUGCUCCGUCCUAAGUAAAUAUAAAAAUAGCCAGCGUUCAUUGACACAACUCAUGUGGUAUAAAUUACAAGAUGAAAAAGUGGAUCUGAUGAUGAUAGCUUACGUGUCU
This is a long non-coding RNA of Chelonus insularis, 467 nucleotides long. RefSeq lists it as uncharacterized. NCBI's taxonomy places the organism in Eukaryota, Metazoa, Arthropoda, Insecta, Hymenoptera, Braconidae. The transcript is spliced from 3 exons. The record is from RefSeq and is a predicted model, not a curated record.